GUCCCGUUCGUCUAGAGGCCUAGGACACCGGCCUUUCACGUCGGUAACACGGGUUCGAUUCCCGUACGGGACG
This is a transfer RNA of Magnetococcus sp., 73 nucleotides long. It matches the Rfam family "tRNA". Rfam says of the family: Transfer RNA (tRNA) molecules are approximately 80 nucleotides in length. Their secondary structure includes four short double-helical elements and three loops (D, anti-codon, and T loops). The record is from Rfam. Lineage: Bacteria; Pseudomonadati; Pseudomonadota; Magnetococcia; Magnetococcales; Magnetococcaceae.